CCUACGGGAGGCAGCAGUGGGGAAUAUUGCACAAUGGGCGCAAGCCUGAUGCAGCCAUGCCGCGUGUAUGAAGAAGGCCUUCGGGUUGUAAAGUACUUUCAGCGGGGAGGAAGGCGACAAGGUUAAUAACCUUGUCGAUUGACGUUACCCGCAGAAGAAGCACCGGCUAACUCCGUGCCAGCAGCCGCGGUAAU
Molecule: ribosomal RNA, 194 nt
Filed under: uncultured bacterium
Lineage: Bacteria
Description: partial 16S ribosomal RNA
Rfam family: Bacterial small subunit ribosomal RNA
Source: RNAcentral